This 1041-nucleotide long non-coding RNA is filed under the name Brassica napus (rape). RNAcentral describes it as "long non-coding RNA (BNAP_LNC007514)". Lineage: Eukaryota; Viridiplantae; Streptophyta; Magnoliopsida; Brassicales; Brassicaceae. The record is from RNAcentral.
AACUCACAACCUGACAUACAUAGAUGAUGUACAAAUAACUAUAUACAAUGAAUUUUUUUAUAAAAUAAUUGGCUUUCUCCUAAAUCGUGAAGUUCAUCAUGCUUCUCCGGAGCCGGUAAGGCUACCGGCUUCGGGGAAGGCUCUAAUUCCUCCUGUCGAAUCUAUUCAUCCCUAUGAUGUAAGUUUUGCUUGGUGAUGCUCUCCUUUCAAGCUUAAAUUGACAUUUCGUUCAUGAUGUUGUGGGUCAUAAUAAUGGAAAUGAAUCCUCUUAUUUCUAUUGUUGUAUUGGAGACUGUUCGUGAGUUUCACUUUGUUGUGCCUCCGCUUUGUUAGUCGUGCACCGGUGAGAUCUCUUAUGCCAUCUAACUAAGAGGACCACUUAUUAUGGGUGGGCUCGUGGUCCAUGGUCACAAGUUUAUGACGAGAGUUGAGCUUUGCGUUCUGCUCACUAAAUUUGUGUCUACUAAAGCAACUUUUUGUCAAACUCAUUUCUCACCUUCUUCAAAUUUAGUGUUUGUUUGUUGCAUUGUUACAUGUUUUGCCGUUUGAGUCAAUGAAUCUCUUUGUUUUAUUGUGCUCAUGGCUCACAUAUCUUCAAGAGGAAGUAGUAAGGCCUCAAAGUGGUGAUGUUGCCCCUCUCGAAAAUCUGGCUUUGAGGACGACUGUGGUUGUGGAAGUUGAGCGCUAUUAAUCCUUUGUGGCUGCGUUAUCCUGUCUAGGGGUUUCAGACCAGUGUUCCAACUCAGACGUGAAGGAAGUCUUUAAGUGGGCUUCUAUGAUUUUUCAGAGGAAUAGUCUUCUGUUUUAGGUGACAUGUUGGAUCAUGUUCUUGCUCACUUUGUUGGUCGUCGACAUUCCAAUUUGUCUUCAGUUUCUCUUUUUAUACUAGUAUUGGCUUGAUCCUUCAUUCAAAUGUGUUUUAAGUUUGUAUCAAUUAUUUAUUUCAUGUUCGUUACCAAGUAAAACGGACGAAUUAUCGUUUGUCUUUUAUUUUCAUAUUUUUACCUUCUUUUAUCAUGUAAUCAAAUCUAGAGGUCUGGG